RNAcentral lists this ribosomal RNA (1070 nucleotides) under uncultured Microbacterium sp. RNAcentral's name for it is "bacterial SSU rRNA". It matches the Rfam family "Bacterial small subunit ribosomal RNA", at positions 67 to 1146 of the family's 1533-position model. The record is from RNAcentral. Lineage: Bacteria; Bacillati; Actinomycetota; Actinomycetes; Micrococcales; Microbacteriaceae.
CGGUGAACACGGAGCUUGCUCUGUGGGAUCAGUGGCGAACGGGUGAGUAACACGUGAGCAACCUGCCCCUGACUCUGGGAUAAGCGCUGGAAACGGCGUCUAAUACUGGAUAUGUGACGUGACCGCAUGGUCUGCGUCUGGAAAGAAUUUCGGUUGGGGAUGGGCUCGCGGCCUAUCAGCUUGUUGGUGAGGUAAUGGCUCACCAAGGCGUCGACGGGUAGCCGGCCUGAGAGGGUGACCGGCCACACUGGGACUGAGACACGGCCCAGACUCCUACGGGAGGCAGCAGUGGGGAAUAUUGCACAAUGGGCGCAAGCCUGAUGCAGCAACGCCGCGUGAGGGACGACGGCCUUCGGGUUGUAAACCUCUUUUAGCAGGGAAGAAGCGAAAGUGACGGUACCUGCAGAAAAAGCGCCGGCUAACUACGUGCCAGCAGCCGCGGUAAUACGUAGGGCGCAAGCGUUAUCCGGAAUUAUUGGGCGUAAAGAGCUCGUAGGCGGUUUGUCGCGUCUGCUGUGAAAUCCGGAGGCUCAACCUCCGGCCUGCAGUGGGUACGGGCAGACUAGAGUGCGGUAGGGGAGAUUGGAAUUCCUGGUGUAGCGGUGGAAUGCGCAGAUAUCAGGAGGAACACCGAUGGCGAAGGCAGAUCUCUGGGCCGUAACUGACGCUGAGGAGCGAAAGGGUGGGGAGCAAACAGGCUUAGAUACCCUGGUAGUCCACCCCGUAAACGUUGGGAACUAGUUGUGGGGUCCAUUCCACGGAUUCCGUGACGCAGCUAACGCAUUAAGUUCCCCGCCUGGGGAGUACGGCCGCAAGGCUAAAACUCAAAGGAAUUGACGGGGACCCGCACAAGCGGCGGAGCAUGCGGAUUAAUUCGAUGCAACGCGAAGAACCUUACCAAGGCUUGACAUAUACGAGAACGGGCCAGAAAUGGUCAACUCUUUGGACACUCGUAAACAGGUGGUGCAUGGUUGUCGUUAGCUCGUGUCGUGAGAUGUUGGGUUAAGUCCCGCAACGAGCGCAACCCUCGUUCUAUGUUGCCAGCACGUAAUGGUGGGGAACUCAUGGGA